RNAcentral lists this transfer RNA (63 nucleotides) under Wellcomia siamensis. RNAcentral's name for it is "tRNA-Thr". Lineage: Eukaryota; Metazoa; Nematoda; Chromadorea; Rhabditida; Oxyuridae. The record is from RNAcentral.
GCUGUUUUAGUUUAUUUUUUUUUUUGAAUUUGGAUUUUGUAAUUCUGAGGUAAUUUUUCAGUU